Molecule: long non-coding RNA, 475 nt
Filed under: Rattus norvegicus (Norway rat)
Lineage: Eukaryota; Metazoa; Chordata; Mammalia; Rodentia; Muridae
Description: long non-coding RNA NONRATT011946
Source: RNAcentral
GCGAUCUACAGAUUCAAUGCAAUCCCCAUCAAAAUACCAAUCCAAUUCUUCAAAGAGUUAGACAGAACAAUUUGCAAAUUCAUCUGGAAUAACAAAAAACCCAGGAUAGCUAAAGCUAUCCUCAACAAUAAAAGGACUUCAGGGGGAAUCACUAUCCCUGAACUCAAGCAGUAUUACAGAGCAAUAGUGAUAAAAACUGCAUGGUAUUGGUACAGAGACAGACAGAUAGACCAAUGGAAUAGAAUUGAAGUCCCAGAAAUGAACCCACACACCUAUGGUCACUUGAUUUUUGACAAAGGAGCCAAAACCAUCCAAUGGAAAAAAGAUAGCAUUUUUAGCAAAUGGUGCUGGUUCAACUGGAGGUCAACAUGUAGAAGAAUGCAGAUCGAUCCAUGCUUGUCACCCUGUACAAAGCUUAAGUCCAAGUGGAUCAAGAACCUCCACAUCAAACCAGACACACUCAAACUCAUAGAAG